This 250-nucleotide ribosomal RNA is filed under the name uncultured bacterium. Its description in RNAcentral is "partial 16S ribosomal RNA". It matches the Rfam family "Bacterial small subunit ribosomal RNA", at positions 524 to 773 of the family's 1533-position model. The record is from RNAcentral.
UACGUAGGUGGCAAGCGUUGUCCGGAAUUAUUGGGCGUAAAGCGCGCGCAGGCGGUCCUUUAAGUCUGAUGUGAAAGCCCACGGCUCAACCGUGGAGGGUCAUUGGAAACUGGGGGACUUGAGUACAGAAGAGGAAAGCGGAAUUCCACGUGUAGCGGUGAAAUGCGUAGAGAUGUGGAGGAACACCAGUGGCGAAGGCGGCUUUCUGGUCUGUAACUGACGCUGAGGCGCGAAAGCGUGGGGAGCAAAC